This 72-nucleotide transfer RNA is filed under the name Pseudomonadota bacterium. RNAcentral's name for it is "tRNA-Arg". It matches the Rfam family "tRNA". From Rfam's summary of the family: Transfer RNA (tRNA) molecules are approximately 80 nucleotides in length. Their secondary structure includes four short double-helical elements and three loops (D, anti-codon, and T loops). Further hydrogen bonds mediate the characteristic L-shaped molecular structure. tRNAs have two regions of fundamental functional importance: the anti-codon, which is responsible for specific mRNA codon recognition, and the 3' end, to which the tRNAs corresponding amino acid is attached (by aminoacyl-tRNA synthetases). tRNAs cope with the degeneracy of the genetic code in two manners: having more than one tRNA (with a specific anti-codon) for a particular amino acid; and 'wobble' base-pairing, i.e. permitting non-standard base-pairing at the 3rd anti-codon position. Lineage: Bacteria; Pseudomonadati; Pseudomonadota. RNAcentral also lists the same sequence under 1 other name. The record is from RNAcentral.
GCCCCCGUAGCAUAGUGGAAAUGCACUCGCCUUCUAAGCGAGCUUACGCAGGUUCGAAUCCUGCCGGGGGUG